This 494-nucleotide ribosomal RNA is filed under the name uncultured eukaryote. RNAcentral's name for it is "SSU rRNA". It matches the Rfam family "Eukaryotic small subunit ribosomal RNA", at positions 586 to 1083 of the family's 1831-position model. The record is from RNAcentral.
CAGCUCCAAUAGCGUAUAUUAAAGUUGUUGCAGUUAAAAAGCUCGUAGUUGAACCUUGGGUCUGGCUGGCCGGUCCGCCUCACCGCGAGUACUGGUCCGGCUGGACCUUUCCUUCUGGGGAAUCUCAUGGCCUUCACUGGCUGUGGGGGGAACCAGGACUUUUACUGUGAAAAAAUUAGAGUGUUCAAAGCAGGCCUUUGCUCGAAUACAUUAGCAUGGAAUAAUAGAAUAGGACGUGCGGUUCUAUUUUGUUGGUUUCUAGGACCGCCGUAAUGAUUAAUAGGGAUAGUCGGGGGCGUCAGUAUUCAGCUGCCAGAGGUGAAAUUCUUGGAUUUGCUGAAGACUAACUACUGCGAAAGCAUUCGCCAAGGAUGUCUUCAUUAAUCAGGGAACGAAAGGUAAGGGGAUCGAAGACGAUCAGAUACCGUCGUAGUACUUAACCAUAAACUAUGCCGACUAGGGAUCGGACGGUGUUUCUAUUAUGACCCGUUCGG